GACGAACGCUGGCGGCGUGCUUAACACGUGCAAGUCGAACGGUGAAGCGCCUUCCUUUUUGGUGGGUGUGGAGGAGUGGCGAACGGGUGAGUAACACGUGAGUAACCUGCCCCCUUCUUCUGGAUAACCGCAUGAAAGUGUGGCUAAUACGGGAUAUUCUGGGUCUGUCGCAUGAUGGGUCUGGGAAAGAUAUUGUUUCGGUGGGGGAUGGGCUCGCGGCCUAUCAGCUUGUUGGUGGGGUGACGGCCUACCAAGGCGGUGACGGGUAGCCGGCCUGGGAGGGUGAGCGACCCCACUGGUGCUGCGACGCGGCCCAGACUCCUGCGGGAGGCAGCAGGGGGGAAUAUUGCACAGUGGGCGGCAGCCUGCUGCAGCGACGCCGCGUGAGGGAUGGAGGCCUUCGGGUUGUGAACCUCUUUCGCCAGUGAAGCAGGCCUGCCUCGUUUGUGGGUGGGUUGACGGUAGCUGGAUAAGAAGCGCCGGCUAACUACGUG
This 494-nucleotide ribosomal RNA is filed under the name uncultured bacterium. RNAcentral's name for it is "partial 16S ribosomal RNA". It matches the Rfam family "Bacterial small subunit ribosomal RNA", at positions 28 to 507 of the family's 1533-position model. The record is from RNAcentral.